AUGAAAGAAAUCUCUUUUCCUCCAAUCCAUUCCCUCUCGUUCUCUCUCGCCUUCUCCCUAUACCGAGAUCGUCGGAGAAGAAGCCUCCGACGUGCCGGAAAUCACCUCGUAGUAGAGGAGACGAUGGCGAUAUGUGAUCUAGCUCCGAUCUUCAAUUUCCUUUCACCGCUCUCUUUGUCUUCCUCUUCUGAGUACUAA
This is a non-coding RNA of Vicia faba (fava bean), 198 nucleotides long. The record is from the annotation of a GenBank genome assembly. Lineage: Eukaryota; Viridiplantae; Streptophyta; Magnoliopsida; Fabales; Fabaceae.